Molecule: ribosomal RNA, 424 nt
Filed under: uncultured bacterium
Lineage: Bacteria
Description: bacterial SSU rRNA
Rfam family: Bacterial small subunit ribosomal RNA
Source: RNAcentral
GAUGAACGCUAGCUACAGGCUUAACACAUGCAAGUCGAGGGGCAGCAUGGUCUUAGCUUGCUAAGGCCGAUGGCGACCGGCGCACGGGUGAGUAACACGUAUCCAACCUGCCGUCUACUCUUGGACAGCCUUCUGAAAGGAAGAUUAAUACAAGAUGGCAUCAUGAGUCCGCAUGUUCACAUGAUUAAAGGUAUUCCGGUAGACGAUGGGGAUGCGUUCCAUUAGAUAGUAGGCGGGGUAACGGCCCACCUAGUCUUCGAUGGAUAGGGGUUCUGAGAGGAAGGUCCCCCACAUUGGAACUGAGACACGGUCCAAACUCCUACGGGAGGCAGCAGUGAGGAAUACUGGUCAAUGGGCGAGAGCCUGAACCAGCCAAGUAGCGUGAAGGAUGACUGCCCUAUGGUUGUAAACUUCUUUAUAAAGG